GAUAAUGUCUCGGGUAGAGGGGAUCUCCUUGCCAACUAGCCAGAAGCAUGUAAAAGAAAAUCAAACCAAUUGGGGUCGUCCUUUUAGCCGAUCUUUUUCAUGCCCACUACCUCUUCCAAACGGAACCCUUUGCCAAGGAAAAUUGAGGCAGCUUUGUGAGUCUCAUACAAAUUUUUCAUCAAUCCAUGAUCCCAAGACUGGGGCAGAUUUGCAAGUUUCAUUUAAUUUGUUGACCCUAAUUUUCAUGGAUCCAUACCCCUAUGCUCAUUUUCCCAAACACUAAACUGGGGAAAAACUUUUUGGUAUAUCGUGUUUUGUCUUCCCACUCACAUAUUACAUCUCCGUCAAGAAGUGUAUGAGGAAUGAUGUGCCCACAUGGUUGACCUAUUCUUCUCCAAACCCUCCAAAACAUCUCUCAUUUUUCACCUACUAGUUCAAGCAUGUGUGCACUGAUGUCUCGAAAGAAAAAGUCAAAAUGCAAUAAUCUCAAAAGGUCCACUCAAAAUCUGCCAGCCCAAACCAGGCCUACAGACUCCACGGUCAACCACCGCAACCCCGCUACCAACCAUCAUGCGAAAUGGUUGUCGCUGCCACCACAACUACGGUGAGAAUCCAAAACCAAAACGAAGCAGAACACCCUCCCCUACAAGACCGAGAACCCUAACACGCAACAACAACACCCAAAUCCCCAAUUCAUGAUCAUCAACCUGCAGAGAAGAUCAAAUGAACAACUCCAAAAUCCCUGAUUUCCAAUUUCAGAAACCUAAACCCAAUGUCACAACGGUAAAACUCCAAAUCGCGUUUCAAAUCUGUAGAGAAGGAGCAAAAACAACCCCCCUCAAAUCACGAGCCUCACACGAGAAUAGGAUGCCCU
Molecule: long non-coding RNA, 874 nt
Filed under: Vigna radiata
Lineage: Eukaryota; Viridiplantae; Streptophyta; Magnoliopsida; Fabales; Fabaceae
Description: long non-coding RNA (VRAD_LNC010200)
Source: RNAcentral